GAUGAACGCUGGCGGCGUGCCUAAUACAUGCAAGUCGAGCGAACAGACGAGGAUUUUGCUCCUCUGACGUUAGCGGCGGACGGGUGAGUAACACGUGGAUAACCUACCUAUAAGACUGGGAUAACUUCGGGAAACCGGAUCUAAUACCGGAUAAUAUAUUGAACCGCAUGGUUCAAUAGUGAAAGACGGUUUUGCUGUCACUUAUAGAUGGAUCCGCGCCGCAUUAGCUAGUUGGUAAGGUAACGGCUUACCAAGGCAACGAUGCGUAGCCGACCUGAGAGGGUGAUCGGCCACACUGGAACUGAGACACGGUCCAGACUCCUACGGGAGGCAGCAGUAGGGAAUCUUCCGCAAUGGGCGAAAGCCUGACGGAGCAACGCCGCGUGAGUGAUGAAGGUCUUCGGAUCGUAAAACUCUGUUAUUAGGGAAGAACAAAUGUGUAAGUAACUAUGCACGUCUUGACGGUACCUAAUCAGAAAGCCACGGCUAACUACGUG
This 497-nucleotide ribosomal RNA is filed under the name uncultured bacterium. RNAcentral's name for it is "partial 16S ribosomal RNA". It matches the Rfam family "Bacterial small subunit ribosomal RNA", at positions 28 to 507 of the family's 1533-position model. The record is from RNAcentral.